GCUGGUAUAACUCAGCUGGUAGAGUAACUCAUUCGUAAUGAGUAAGUCGUCGGUUCGAAUCCGACUAUCAGCU
This 73-nucleotide transfer RNA is filed under the name Anaerofustis stercorihominis DSM 17244. It matches the Rfam family "tRNA". Rfam says of the family: Transfer RNA (tRNA) molecules are approximately 80 nucleotides in length. Their secondary structure includes four short double-helical elements and three loops (D, anti-codon, and T loops). Further hydrogen bonds mediate the characteristic L-shaped molecular structure. tRNAs have two regions of fundamental functional importance: the anti-codon, which is responsible for specific mRNA codon recognition, and the 3' end, to which the tRNAs corresponding amino acid is attached (by aminoacyl-tRNA synthetases). tRNAs cope with the degeneracy of the genetic code in two manners: having more than one tRNA (with a specific anti-codon) for a particular amino acid; and 'wobble' base-pairing, i.e. permitting non-standard base-pairing at the 3rd anti-codon position. Lineage: Bacteria; Bacillati; Bacillota; Clostridia; Eubacteriales; Eubacteriaceae. The record is from Rfam by way of RNAcentral.